UACGAAGGGGGCUAGCGUUGCUCGGAAUCACUGGGCGUAAAGGGCGCGUAGGCGGCCGAUCAAGUCGGGGGUGAAAGCCUGUGGCUUAACCACAGAAUGGCCUUCGAUACUGUUUGGCUUGAGACCGGAAGAGGUUAGUGGAACUGCGAGUGUAGAGGUGAAAUUCGUAGAUAUUCGCAAGAACACCAGUGGCGAAGGCGGCUGACUGGUCCGGUUCUGACGCUGAGGCGCGAAAGCGUGGGGAGCAAACAGG
This 253-nucleotide ribosomal RNA is filed under the name uncultured bacterium. RNAcentral's name for it is "partial 16S ribosomal RNA". It matches the Rfam family "Bacterial small subunit ribosomal RNA", at positions 524 to 776 of the family's 1533-position model. The record is from RNAcentral.